RNAcentral lists this small RNA (109 nucleotides) under Ensifer fredii. RNAcentral describes it as "Sinorhizobium fredii Guanidine-I sequence". It matches the Rfam family "Guanidine-I riboswitch aptamer". Rfam says of the family: This family represents a conserved RNA structure found upstream of the ykkC and yxkD genes in Bacillus subtilis and related genes in other bacteria. The function of this family is unclear although it has been suggested that it may function to switch on efflux pumps and detoxification systems in response to harmful environmental molecules. Nelson showed that this riboswitch senses and responds to guanidine and it was renamed Guanidine-I riboswitch. Lineage: Bacteria; Pseudomonadati; Pseudomonadota; Alphaproteobacteria; Hyphomicrobiales; Rhizobiaceae. The record is from RNAcentral.
UGACUACGUUUCUAGGGUUCCGAUGCCGAACAGGACAUGACUGGACCGAGAGAAACCUCCGGUGGGGAGACAUCCACCGGGUCCACGGCGGGAUAAAAGCCCGGGAGGC